Gorilla gorilla gorilla (western lowland gorilla) is the source of this 1078-nucleotide long non-coding RNA. RefSeq lists it as uncharacterized. The record is from RefSeq and is a predicted model, not a curated record. NCBI's taxonomy places the organism in Eukaryota, Metazoa, Chordata, Mammalia, Primates, Hominidae. The transcript is spliced from 6 exons.
UCAUGUGGACCUAGCCUGAGGUAGUAGCCAUAGAUGUCAGUGGCAAGACAGAAGAUUCAGUCUCUAAACAAAACCAUAUUCCAUGUCUUCAUCUAUAAAAGUGGAAGAAUAAUGGCAAAUGCUAUGUGAAGAUGAAUAACAUCAGCAACUCUCAGAAAGAAGAGUCUAUGUCCCUGUACACAGAAUCUGGCUUGACUUUGUGACUUGCUUUCACCAACCAAAUGCAGAAGAAGUGAAGUCUGGUCCUCAGGAGGUUUUGUACUCCUCUGCUGACUCUCCUGGGAUGCUAACAAGGCCAUGAGUCCUAGUUACGACUAACUUACAUGGCCUAGUCACCUCCAUUGUCCAAGCCAAUAGGUACCCAGCCAUCACACCUAGAGUGAGGCCAUUCCAAUCUCCAGCUGAUCUGCUGUGGAUGAGCAUGGCCAAGAUCAACUGAGCUUGGCUCAGAUGAGCAAGACUGCCUGGAUAACCUACAAUCUUGUGGAGAAAUGGAGGCACUCACGGAUCAAGCAUUUUCCCAGGGCCACAUAGUUAAUGCAGCACUUAGAAGACUGGUGAUGAUGUGCCUAUUCUAAGUCUAGGCCUCAAGAAGUCUUGAAAGAUUCUGUUCCCUCUCGGUUAGUCCACUGGAGGAUGAGAGACCCACGGCCCAAUAACCUCCAUUGCCUCGGCCAACAGACAGUCAACUUCCAGUCUCACCAUUACCUAGACUACCACAGGGACCACAGACACAUAACGGUGCCCAGCCAAGACAAGAAGAAACAUCCAGCUGAGUCCAGCCUAAAUUGCUGAUCUGCAGAAUUGUAAGCUAGAUAAAUAGUUGUUGUUUAAAGACACUACGUUUUGGGAUGGUUUGGGAUACACCACUAGCUAACAGAUACAGGUUCUCACUCUGUCACCCAGGCUGGAAUACAGUGGUAUGACCACAGCUCCUUGUAACCUCAAACUCCUGGGCUCAAUCAAUCCUCGCACCUCAGCCUCCCAAAGUACUGAGAUUACAGGUGUGAGCCACCAUGCCCUCCCAUAAUAUAUGAUAUUUUUAUCAGCCAGAAACUUCCCGGAUGUUCCUUUGUAG